GAUGAACGCUGGCGGCGUGCCUAAUACAUGCAAGUCGAGCGAACAGACGAGGAACUUGCUCCUCUGACGUUAGCGUCGGACGGGUGAGUAACACGUGGAUACCCUACCUAUAAGACUGGGAGAACUUCGGUAAACCGGAGCUAAUACCGGAUAAUAUAUUGAACCGCAUGGUUCAAUAAUGAAAGACGGUUUUGCUGUCACUUAUACAUGGAUCCGCGCCGCAUUAUCUAGUUGGUAAGGUAACGGCUUACCAAGGCAACGAUGCGUAGCCGACCUGAGAGGGUGAUCGGCCCCAUUGGAACGGGGACACGGUCCAGACUCCUACGGGAGGCAGCAGUAGGGAAUUUUCCGCAUUGAGCGAAGGCCUGCCGGAGCAACGCCGCGUGAGUGAUGCAGGUUUUCGGAUCGUAAACCUUUGUUAUUAGGGCAGAACACAUGCGUACGUAACGAUGCACGUCUUGACGGUACCUAAUCAGAAAGCCACGGCUAACUACGUG
RNAcentral lists this ribosomal RNA (497 nucleotides) under uncultured bacterium. RNAcentral describes it as "partial 16S ribosomal RNA". It matches the Rfam family "Bacterial small subunit ribosomal RNA", at positions 28 to 507 of the family's 1533-position model. The record is from RNAcentral.